UACAGAGGGUGCGAGCGUUAAUCGGAAUUACUGGGCGUAAAGGGUGCGUAGGCGGAAAGACAAGUUGGGCGUGAAAUCCCUGGGCUUAACCUGGGAACUGCGUUCAAGACUGUUUUACUAGAGUAUGGGAGAGGCAAUUGGAAUUUCCGGUGUAGCGGUGAAAUGCGUAGAUAUCGGAAGGAACAUCAGUGGCGAAGGCGAAUUGCUGGACUAAUACUGACGCUGAGGCACGAGAGCGUGGGGAGCAAACAGG
RNAcentral lists this ribosomal RNA (253 nucleotides) under uncultured bacterium. RNAcentral describes it as "partial 16S ribosomal RNA". It matches the Rfam family "Bacterial small subunit ribosomal RNA", at positions 524 to 776 of the family's 1533-position model. The record is from RNAcentral.